This 272-nucleotide RNase P RNA is filed under the name Candidatus Aenigmatarchaeota archaeon. Its description in RNAcentral is "RNase P RNA component". It matches the Rfam family "Archaeal RNase P". From Rfam's summary of the family: Ribonuclease P (RNase P) is a ubiquitous endoribonuclease, found in archaea, bacteria and eukarya as well as chloroplasts and mitochondria. Its best characterised activity is the generation of mature 5'-ends of tRNAs by cleaving the 5'-leader elements of precursor-tRNAs. Lineage: Archaea; Nanobdellati; Candidatus Aenigmatarchaeota. The record is from RNAcentral.
GUGAGCUGGGUAGACAGCUGCCCCGAAAGGGAGGAAGCUCUGUCCACCAAUAAUGUGCCAUCUCACGAGAGAUUGAGGCGAGAGUUUCAGAUAGUUGUGUUGGAGCGUUAGAUGUUCCUUACCAACUCUGUCGGCACGGUGCAAGACCAAGUAGGCCGUGAUGAUGAAAGAGCGGCGGGUAGGUCGCUAAGAUAAAUGCUGUCGAGCGGUACAGAUGAAAACUCGAUUUGAGUUCGAUCCGCUUCACAUAAGACAGGCUAUGCCCAGCACAC